AAGCUUUUAGUUUAAUUAGAAUUUUUUAUUCAUUAUAAAGUGGUUUUAAGCUUU
Molecule: transfer RNA, 54 nt
Filed under: Heliconema longissimum
Lineage: Eukaryota; Metazoa; Nematoda; Chromadorea; Rhabditida; Physalopteridae
Description: tRNA-Met
Source: RNAcentral